GGGGUAGUCUAGCAAUAGAUGAGACCGGCGCACGGGUGCGUAACGCGUAUGCAAUCUACCUUUUACUGAGGGAUAGCCCAGAGAAAUUUGGAUUAAUACCUCAUGGUAUAAUGAAUUGGCAUCAAUUUAUUAUUAAAGUUCCAACGGUAAAAGAUGAGCAUGCGUCCCAUUAGCUAGUUGGUGUGGUAACGGCACACCAAGGCGACGAUGGGUAGGGGUCCUGAGAGGGAGAUCCCCCACACUGGUACUGAGACACGGACCAGACUCCUACGGGAGGCAGCAGUGAGGAAUAUUGGACAAUGGGCGCAAGCCUGAUCCAGCCAUGCCGCGUGCAGGAAGAAGCAUCUAUGGUGUGUAAACUGCUUUUGUACGGGAAGAAACACCCCCUCGUGAGGGGGCUUGACGGUACCGUAAGAAUAAGGAUCGGCUAACUCCGUGCCAGCAGCCGCGGUAAUACGGAGGAUCCAAGCGUUAUCCGGAAUCAUUGGGUUUAAAGGGUCCGUAGGCGGUUUAAUAAGUCAGUGGUGAAAUCUGGUCGCCCAACGAUCAAACGGCCAUUGAUACUGUUAGACUUGAAUUAUUAGGAAGUAACUAGAAUAUGUAGUGUAGCGGUGAAAUGCUUAGAUAUUACAUGGAAUACCAAUUGCGAAGGCAGGUUACUACUAAUUGAUUGACGCUGAUGGACGAAAGCGUGGGGAGCGAACAGGAUUAGAUACCCUGGUAGUCCACGCCGUAAACGAUGGAUACUAGCUGUUGGGAGCAAUUUCAGUGGCUAAGCGAAAGUGAUAAGUAUCCCACCUGGGGAGUACGUUCGCAAGAAUGAAACUC
This 828-nucleotide ribosomal RNA is filed under the name uncultured bacterium. RNAcentral describes it as "bacterial SSU rRNA". It matches the Rfam family "Bacterial small subunit ribosomal RNA", at positions 65 to 902 of the family's 1533-position model. The record is from RNAcentral.